Molecule: ribosomal RNA, 492 nt
Filed under: uncultured bacterium
Lineage: Bacteria
Description: partial 16S ribosomal RNA
Rfam family: Bacterial small subunit ribosomal RNA
Source: RNAcentral
AGUGAACGCUGGCGGUAGGCCUAACACAUGCAAGUCGAACGGCAGCACAGUAAGAGCUUGCUCUUACGGGUGGCGAGUGGCGGACGGGUGAGGAAUACAUCGGAAUCUACUUUUUCGUGGGGGAUAACGUAGGGAAACUUACGCUAAUACCGCAUACGACCUACGGGUGAAAGUAGGGGAUCUUCGGACCUUGCGCGAUUGGAUGAGCCGAUGUCGGAUUAGCUAGUUGGCGGGGUAAAGGCCCACCAAGGCGACGAUCCGUAGCUGGUCUGAGAGGAUGAUCAGCCACACUGGAACGGAGACACGGUCCAGAGUCCUACGGGAGGCAGCAGUGGGGAAUAUUGGACAAUGGGCGCAAGCCUGAUCCAGCCAUACCGCGUGGGUGAAGAAGGCCUUCGGGUUGUAAAGCCCUUUUGUUGGGAAAGAAAAGCAGCAGGUUAAUACCCCGCUGUUCUGACGGUACCCAAAGAAUAAGCACCGGCUAACUUCGUG